Molecule: non-coding RNA, 30 nt
Filed under: Homo sapiens (human)
Lineage: Eukaryota; Metazoa; Chordata; Mammalia; Primates; Hominidae
Source: RNAcentral
UGGUCUUAAAGGAGACGCUACUUUGGGUGA